AGUGAACGCUGGCGGUAGGCCUAACACAUGCAAGUCGAACGGCAGCACAGUAAGAGCUUGCUCUUACGGGUGGCGAGUGGCGGACGGGUGAGGAAUACAUCGGAAUCUACUUUUUCGUGGGGGAUAACGUAGGGAAACUUACGCUAAUACCGCAUACGCCCUACGGGUGAAAGCAGGGGAUCUUCGGACCUUGCGCGGUUGAAUGAGCCGCUGUCGGAUUAGCUAGUUGGCGGGGUAAAGGCCCACCAAGGCGACGAUCCGUAGCUGGUCUGAGAGGAUGAUCAGCCACACUGGAACUGAGACACGGUCCAGACUCCUACGGGAGGCAGCAGUGGGGAAUAUUGGACAAUAGGCGCAAGCCUGAUCCAGCCAUACCGCGUGGGUGAAGAAGGCCUUCGGGUUGUAAAGCCCUUUUGUUGGGAAAGAAAAGCAGCAGGUUAAUACCCCGCUGUUCUGACGGUACCCAAAGAAUAAGCACCGGCUAACUUCGUG
This 492-nucleotide ribosomal RNA is filed under the name uncultured bacterium. Its description in RNAcentral is "partial 16S ribosomal RNA". It matches the Rfam family "Bacterial small subunit ribosomal RNA", at positions 29 to 507 of the family's 1533-position model. The record is from RNAcentral.